GAGACACCCUUAUGGGGCAGGACUUGCUUCAGUGGGGCUUUGGCACUCACUGAGUCUGCCCCCUGAGUGUGUCCCU
This is a non-coding RNA of Myotis brandtii (Brandt's bat), 76 nucleotides long. The record is from Rfam. NCBI's taxonomy places the organism in Eukaryota, Metazoa, Chordata, Mammalia, Chiroptera, Vespertilionidae.